RNAcentral lists this unclassified non-coding RNA (319 nucleotides) under uncultured fungus. RNAcentral's name for it is "partial contains 5.8S ribosomal RNA and internal transcribed spacer 2". The stretch from base 1 to 133 matches the Rfam family "5.8S ribosomal RNA", at positions 22 to 154 of the family's 154-position model. Lineage: Eukaryota; Fungi. The record is from RNAcentral.
UGGUUCUGGCAUCGAUGAAGAACGCAGCGAAAUGCGAUAAGUAAUGUGAAUUGCAGAAUUCAGUGAAUCAUCGAAUCUUUGAACGCAUAUUGCGCCCUUUGGUAUUCCGAAGGGCAUGCCUGUCCGAGCGUCAUUACACCCCUCAAACCUCCGGGUUUGACGUUGGGCGACGCCCGCUACGGGGGCCAGCCUUAAAGCGAAUGGCGGUUUCCAACCAACCUCGAGCGUACAAGUAUCGCUGACGGUGGACGGUUGGGGGCCUGCCCUCCAGCAUAAGCUUCUCAAUGUUGACCUCGGAUCAGGUAGGGAUACCCGCUGA